UACAGAGGGUGCGAGCGUUGUUCGGAAUUAUUGGGCGUAAAGCGCUUGUAGGUGGUUUUUUAAGUCUGCUGUGAAAGCCCCUGGCUCAACCAGGGAAGUGCAGCAGAUACUGGAGAACUUGAGUGCUGGAGAGGGUCGCGGAAUUCCCGGUGUAGAGGUGAAAUUCGUAGAUAUCGGGAGGAACACCAGUGGCGAAGGCGGCGACCUGGACAGACACUGACACUGAGACGCGAAAGCGUGGGGAGCAAACAGG
This 253-nucleotide ribosomal RNA is filed under the name uncultured bacterium. Its description in RNAcentral is "partial 16S ribosomal RNA". It matches the Rfam family "Bacterial small subunit ribosomal RNA", at positions 524 to 776 of the family's 1533-position model. The record is from RNAcentral.